RNAcentral lists this unclassified non-coding RNA (253 nucleotides) under uncultured Oligoflexales bacterium. RNAcentral describes it as "contains 16S-23S intergenic spacer region". It matches the Rfam family "Bacterial small subunit ribosomal RNA", at positions 524 to 776 of the family's 1533-position model. The record is from RNAcentral. Lineage: Bacteria; Pseudomonadati; Bdellovibrionota; Oligoflexia; Oligoflexales.
UACGGAGGGUGCAAGCGUUGCUCGGAAUUAUUGGGCGUAAAGGGUCGGUAGGUGGUCUCAUUUGUCUGGGGUGAAAGCCUUGAGCUCAACUCAAGAAGUGCCUCAGAAACGGUGGGACUAGAGUCCUGGAGAGGGUCGUGGAAUUCCCGGUGUAGCGGUGAAAUGCGUAGAGAUCGGGAGGAACACCAGAGGCGAAGGCGGCGACCUGGACAGGAACUGACACUAAACUACGAAAGCGUGGGGAGCGAACAGG